CAAUCAAGUGCCUUAAGGGUGUUCGGUGGAUGCCUUGGCGAUGAGAGGCGACGAAGGACGUGCUACGCUGCGAUAAGCCGUGGGGAGCUGCGAAGGAGCUUUGAUCCACGGAUUUCCGAAUGGGGAAACCCACCUUCGAUAGCCGAAACUCUAAGUUCACAACGACGCAAGUCGGUGUGGAUUUGGAUUUUCGGUUAUCAAGUGAAGGUAUGAGACUUCUGAAUACAUAGGAGGUUUCAAGCGAACCCAGGGAACUGAAACAUCUAAGUACCUGGAGGAAAGGACAUCAACCGAGACUCCGCUAGUAGUGGCGAGCGAACGCGGACCAGGCCAGUCAUAAAUGUGAGACAACCAGAACCUGUCAGGAAAGCAGGGCCUCAGAGGGUGAUAGCCCCGUAUGGGUAAUGCAAACAUUUAUGCUCGAGUAAGGCGGGACACGUGAAAUCCUGUCUGAACAUGGGGGGACCACCCUCCAAGCCUAAGUACUCCUCAUCGACCGAUAGUGAACCAGUACCGUGAGGGAAAGGUGAAAAGCACCCCGACGAGGGGAGUGAAAUAGACCUGAAACCGGACACCUACAAACAGACGGAGCCCAAGAUUAGUUCUGGGUGACGUCGUACCUUUUGUAUUAUGGGCCAGCGACUUAAUUUAACGAGCAAGCUUAAACCGAUAGGUGUAGGCGUAGCGAAAGCGAGUCUUAAUAGGGCGCCAAGUUCGUUGUAUUAGACCCGAAACCUAGUGAUCUAGCCAUGAGCAGGUUGAAGGUGAGGUAACACUCACUGGAGGACCGAACGGGUGUCUGUUGAAAAAGACUCCGAUGACUUGUGGUUAGGGGUGAAAGGCCAAUCAAACUGGGAAAUAGCUGGUUCUCCGCGAAAGAUAUUUAGGUAUCGCCUCGGAUGAAUACCUCAGGGGGUAGAGCACUGGAUGGGCUAGGGGGACUUACCGUCUUACCAAACCCAACCAAACUCCGAAUACCUGAGAGUACUAUCCGGGAGUCACACGGCGGGUGCUAACGUCCGUCGUGGAGAGGGAAACAACCCGGACCUACAGCUAAGGCCCCUAAUUCGUGGCUAAGUGGGAAAGGAUGUGGGAAUCCCAAAACAACCAGGAGGUUGGCUUAGAAGCAGCCAUCCUUUAAAGAAAGCGUAACAGCUCACUGGUCUAAAUAAGGGUUCCUGCGCCGAAGAUGUAACGGGGCUCAAGCCACGAGCCGAAGCUUAGGGUGUGCGCGCAAGCGUACGCGGUAGCGGAGCGUUCUGUAAGCCUGCGAAGGGCGACCCGUGAGGGCGCCUGGAGGUAUCAGAAGUGCGAAUGCUGGCAUGAGUAACGACAAACAGUGUGAAAGACACUGUCGCCGAAAGUCCAAGGGUUCCUGCGUAAAGUUAAUCUUCGCAGGGUUAGCCGGUCCCUAAGGCGAGGCCGAAAGGCGUAGUCGAUGGGAAUCACGUGAAUAUUCGUGAGCCAGUGGAUGGUGACGAAUCCCUUAUGUUGUCUGACCUUAUUGGAUUGGUCGGGCCUCGACGGGGUUCCAGGAAAUAGCCUCCACAUUAGACCGUACCCGAAACCGACACAGGUGGACUGGUAGAGUAUACCAAGGCGCUUGAGAGAACUAUGUUGAAGGAACUCGGCAAUUUACCUCCGUAACUUCGGGAUAAGGGGGCCCUCUAUGUACGCAAGUGCAUAGGGGGGGCACAGACCAGGGGGUGGCAACUGUUUAGCAAAAACACAGGGCUCUGCGAAAUCGCAAGAUGACGUAUAGGGUCUGACGCCUGCCCGGUGC
This 1783-nucleotide ribosomal RNA is filed under the name Afipia sp. RNAcentral describes it as "bacterial LSU rRNA". It matches the Rfam family "Bacterial large subunit ribosomal RNA", at positions 1 to 1869 of the family's 2925-position model. Lineage: Bacteria; Pseudomonadati; Pseudomonadota; Alphaproteobacteria; Hyphomicrobiales; Nitrobacteraceae. The record is from RNAcentral.